Molecule: transfer RNA, 50 nt
Filed under: Aporrectodea trapezoides
Lineage: Eukaryota; Metazoa; Annelida; Clitellata; Crassiclitellata; Lumbricidae
Description: partial tRNA-Asp
Source: RNAcentral
GAAAUACUAGUUAAAUAAUAACAACAUCUUGUCAAGAUAUAGUUACCUAU